GUAGGGAAUAUUGGACAAUGGGGGAAACCCUGAUCCAGCAAUGCCGCGUGAGUGAAGAAGGCCUUAGGGUUGUAAAGCUCUUUCGCCGGUGAAGAUGAUGACUGUAGCCGGUAAAGAAGCCCCGGCUAACUCCGUGCCAGCAGCCGCGGUAAUACGGAGGGGGCUAGCGUUGUUCGGAAUUACUGGGCGUAAAGCGCACGUAGGCGGCGCAUCGAGUCAGGCGUGAAAGCCCUGGGCUUAACCUGGGGACUGCGCUUGAUACAGGUGCGCUAGAGUCCGGAAGGGGGUAGCGGAAUUCCAAGUGUAGAGGUGAAAUUCGUAGAUAUUUGGAAGAACACCGGUGGCGAAGGCGGCUACCUGGUCCGGAACUGACGCUGAGGUGCGAAAGCGUGGGGAGCAAACAGGAUUAGAUACCCCUGUAGUCC
Molecule: ribosomal RNA, 425 nt
Filed under: uncultured bacterium
Lineage: Bacteria
Description: bacterial SSU rRNA
Rfam family: Bacterial small subunit ribosomal RNA
Source: RNAcentral